This 62-nucleotide microRNA precursor is filed under the name Panagrellus redivivus. Its description in RNAcentral is "microRNA prd-mir-7915 precursor". The record is from miRBase by way of RNAcentral. Lineage: Eukaryota; Metazoa; Nematoda; Chromadorea; Rhabditida; Panagrolaimidae.
CUACACGUUUCCAAAUCAUUGCAGAUUUCCAAAGUUACAGCAAUGGCUUGAAAACGGGUGGC